AACGCACGAGACCUGCGGACCUGCGGAAGGAUCAUUACCGAGUUCAUGCCCUCACGGGUAGAUCUCCCACCCUUGUGUAUUCUAUGUUUGUGUUGCUUUGGCAGGCCGUGGGCCUCGCCCACCACCGGCUCUCGGGCUGGUGUGCGCCUGCCAGAGGACUCUUUAAACUCUGUUUGUUAGUGUCGUCUGAGUAUGAUAACAAUCGUUAAAACUUUCAACAACGGAUCUCUAGAUCGGAAG
This 240-nucleotide unclassified non-coding RNA is filed under the name soil metagenome. RNAcentral's name for it is "partial contains 5.8S ribosomal RNA, internal transcribed spacer 2, and large subunit ribosomal RNA". The record is from RNAcentral.